AAAUAUAACGGGGCUUAAGCAACGUACCGAAGCUGCGGGCUGUUUUACAGCGGUAGGCGAGCAUUGUCUCGGCUGCGAAGCUAGACGGUAACGACUGGUGGAGUAGUGACAAGAGCGAAUGCAGGCUUGAGUAGCGAUAAACCGAGCGAGAAACUCGGUCGCCGUAAGCCCAAGGGUUCCUGGGUCAAGUUAAUCUUCCCAGGGUUAGUCGGUCCCUAAGCCGAGGCCGAAAGGCGUAGGUAAUGGCUAGCAGGUUAAUAUUCCUGCACUAGUAAGGAUGACGUUGAUCGCAGGAAGGACGGAGAAGGGUCGCUGAGCCGCGGCAUGGUUUGCCCGGUUCAAACCUGUAGGCUGUCUCUUUAGGACCCCAAUGUGGGACAAACGAAGAGACAUUAAGCUGAGAGGUGAUGAGGAGAGUUCUAUGAACUCACGAACUCAGUUAUCCCAGACUUCCAAGAAAAGUUCCGGCGUGAGUCACUUUACUGACCGUACCGCAAACCGACACAGGUGGGCAAGGAGAAUAUCCUAAGGCGUUUGAGAGAAGCCUCUCCAAGGAACUCGGCAUAAUGACACCGUAACUUCGGGAUAAGGUGUGCCGACGGUAGGUGAUGUGCCUGCGCACAAAGCCAAAGUCGGUUGCAGUGAAACGGGGGUAGCGACUGUUUACCAAAAACACAGCACUCUGCAAACUCGCAAGAGGAAGUAUAGGGUGUGAUGCCUGCCCGGUGCCGGAAGGUUAAGAGGAGGAGUCAGCCGCAAGGCAAAGCCCCGAAUCGAAGCCCCGGUAAACGGCGGCCGUAACUAUAACGGUCCUAAGGUAGCGAAAUUCCUUGUCGGGUAAGUUCCGACCUGCACGAAUGGCAUAACGACUUCCCCACUGUCUCGGAGAGGCCCUCAGCGAAGUAGCACUAGGGGUGAAGAUACCCUUUACCCGCGGCAGGACGGAAAGACCCCGUGAACCUUUACUGUAACUUGGCACUGAUUUUCGGGUUAGCUUGCGUAGGAUAGGUGGGAGGCUAUGAAGCCGGGAUUCCGGUCUCGGCAGAGCCAACCUUGAAAUACCACCCUGGCUAACCUAAAAAUCUAACUCGCUUCCGUAAUCCGGAAGGAGGACAAUGCCUGGUGGGCAGUUUGACUGGGGCGGUCGCCUCCCAAAAAGUAACGGAGGCGCGCGAAGGUUCCCUCAGCCUGAUUGGAAACCAGGCGAAGAGUGUAAUGGCAUAAGGGAGCUUGACUGCAAGACAAACAAGUCGAGCAGGUGCGAAAGCAGGUCAUAGUGAUCCGGUGGUCCUGUAUGGAAAGGCCAUCGCUCAACGGAUAAAAGGUACUCCGGGGAUAACAGGCUUAUCACGCCCAAGAGUUCACAUCGACGGCGUGGUUUGGCACCUCGAUGUCGGCUCAUCGCAUCCUGGGGCUGAAGUAGGUCCCAAGGGUUUGGCUGUUCGCCAAUUAAAGCGGUACGCGAGCUGGGUUCAAAACGUCGUGAGACAGUUUGGUCCCUAUCCGCCGUGGGCGCAGGAGACUUGAGAGGAGCUAACCUUAGUACGAGAGGACCGGGUUGGACUGACCUCUAGUGUUCCGGUUGUGGCACCAGCCGCAUCGCCGGGUAGCUACGUCGGGAAUGGAUAACCGCUGAAAGCAUCUAAGCGGGAAGCCAACCUCAAGAUUAGGUCUCCCAGGUCGUAAGACCCUAAAGGCCCCUUGUAGACCACAAGGUAAUAGGCUGGGUGUGGAAGCGUAGUAAUACGUGGAGCUGACCAGUACUAAUCGGCCGUGCGGCUUGACC
This 1786-nucleotide ribosomal RNA is filed under the name activated sludge metagenome. RNAcentral's name for it is "bacterial LSU rRNA". It matches the Rfam family "Bacterial large subunit ribosomal RNA", at positions 1168 to 2925 of the family's 2925-position model. The record is from RNAcentral.